CGCGGGAUUGCUCAGAUUGAACGCUGGCGGCAGGCCUAACACAUGCAAGUCGAGCGGAAACGAGAAUAGCUUGCUAUUCGGCGUCGAGCGGCGGACGGGUGAGUAAUGCCUGGGAAAUUGCCCUGAUGUGGGGGAUAACCAUUGGAAACGAUGGCUAAUACCGCAUAAUAGCUUCGGCUUAAAGAGGGGGACCUUCGGGCCUUUCGCUUCAGGAUAUGCCCAGGUGGGAUUAGCUAGUUGGUGAGGUAAAGGCUCACCAAGGCGACGAUCCCUAGCUGGUCUGAGAGGAUGAUCAGCCACACUGGAACUGAGACACGGUCCAGACUCCUACGGGAGGCAGCAGUGGGGAAUAUUGCACAAUGGGCGCAAGCCUGAUGCAGCCAUGCCGCGUGUAUGAAGAAGGCCUUCGGGUUGUAAAGUACUUUCAGCAGUGAGGAAGGGUGUGUAGUUAAUAGCUGCAUACUUUGACGUUAGCUGCAGAAGAAGCACCGGCUAACUCCGUGCCAGCAGCCGCGGUAAUACGGAGGGUGCGAGCGUUAAUCGGAAUUACUGGGCGUAAAGCGCAUGCAGGUGGUUUGUUAAGUCAGAUGUGAAAGCCCGGGGCUCAACCUCGGAACCGCAUUUGAAACUGGCAGGCUAGAGUACUGUAGAGGGGGGUAGAAUUUCA
RNAcentral lists this ribosomal RNA (667 nucleotides) under uncultured Vibrionaceae bacterium. RNAcentral's name for it is "bacterial SSU rRNA". It matches the Rfam family "Bacterial small subunit ribosomal RNA", at positions 12 to 671 of the family's 1533-position model. The record is from RNAcentral. Lineage: Bacteria; Pseudomonadati; Pseudomonadota; Gammaproteobacteria; Vibrionales; Vibrionaceae.